GAUGAACGCUGGCGGCGUGCCUAAUACAUGCAAGUCGAGCGAACAGACGAGGAGCUUGCUCCUCUGACGUUAGCGGCGGACGGGUGAGUAACACGUGGAUAACCUACCUAUAAGACUGGGAUAACUUCGGGAAACCGGCGCUAAUACCGGAUAAUAUAUUGAACCGCAUGGUUCAAUAGUGAAAGACGGUUUUGCUGUCACUUAUAGAUGGAUCCGCGCCGCAUUAGCUAGUUGGUAAGGUAACGGCUUACCAAGGCAACGAUGCGUAGCCGACCUGAGGGGGUGAUCGGCCACACUGGAACUGAGACGCGGUCCAGACUCCUACGGGAGGCAGCAGUAGGGAAUCUUCCGCAAUGGGCGAAAGCCUGACGGAGCAACGCCGCGUGAGUGAUGAAGGUCUUCGGAUCGUAAAACUCUGUUAUUAGGGAAGAACAAAUGUGUAAGUAACUAUGCACGUCUUGACGGUACCUAAUCAGAAAGCCACGGCUAACUACGUG
Molecule: ribosomal RNA, 497 nt
Filed under: uncultured bacterium
Lineage: Bacteria
Description: partial 16S ribosomal RNA
Rfam family: Bacterial small subunit ribosomal RNA
Source: RNAcentral